ACUUGAAUAGCUUACUUUUUAGAGCGCGACGCUGAAGAUGUCGAUGAGGUGGUUUAACCUUUAAGUG
Molecule: transfer RNA, 67 nt
Filed under: Termitinae sp.
Lineage: Eukaryota; Metazoa; Arthropoda; Insecta; Blattodea; Termitidae
Description: tRNA-Phe
Source: RNAcentral